RNAcentral lists this ribosomal RNA (500 nucleotides) under uncultured bacterium. RNAcentral's name for it is "bacterial SSU rRNA". It matches the Rfam family "Bacterial small subunit ribosomal RNA", at positions 8 to 518 of the family's 1533-position model. The record is from RNAcentral.
AGAGUUUGAUCCUGGCUCAGAACGAACGCUGGUGGCGUGUCUUAUACAUGCAAGUCGAGCGAGGCAGCAAUGCCGAGCGGCGAACGGGUGAGUAACGCGUAAGCAAUCUGCCCCAUAUCAGGAAAUACCCGUGCCAACGCGCGGUUAAUGUCCAGGAGAGUGGCCCUCUGCAUGGAGGGUUGACUAGAGAUUUAUCGGUAUGGGAUGAGCUUGCGUCCGAUUAGCUAGUUGGCGGGGCAACGGCCCACCAAGGCGACGAUCGGUAGCCGGCCUGAGAGGGUGAUCGGCCACAUUGGGACUGAGAUACGGCCCAGACUCCUACGGGAGGCAGCAGUAGGGAAUAUUGCACAAUGGGGGAAACCCUGAUGCAGCAACGCCAACCGUGUGGGAAGAAGCAUUUCGGUGUGUAAACCACUGUCAUGAGGGAAUAAGGCCCGCCUUCGGACGGACUUGAAUGUACCUUGAGAGGAAGCACCGGCAAACUUCGUGCCAGCCGCCGC